This is a long non-coding RNA of Tympanuchus pallidicinctus (lesser prairie-chicken), 858 nucleotides long. RefSeq lists it as uncharacterized. The transcript is spliced from 3 exons. Lineage: Eukaryota; Metazoa; Chordata; Aves; Galliformes; Phasianidae. The record is from RefSeq and is a predicted model, not a curated record.
ACUAGGCUCUGGAGCUCCAAGCUGGCCCAGUACAUUGAAGUUGGGUUGGACACAGCACUGAAGCACCCCACUUGAUGUUAGGGCACUGCUGGCCAGAUGCAUUCCUGGAGUUUCUUGGGUCACUUCUGAUGGCCAGGAUUUGUACCUCUCCCAUUCCUGACCCUGGGCAGUGUUAGCCAAAAAGAUCUACUCCUGCUUCUUGUCAUGUGAACUCUUUUAUAUGUAAUCUGUCUUAUUAAUCAAGUUCCCACCAAGACAAAGACUGGAGUCAGCCCAGCAAUCUGAUUCACUAAAACAAGCGUAAAACAUCAUCCUUUACACAAGAUAAAGCUUCCAUGUCUCAUCUUGCCAUUUCAGGAUUUUGGCUUUCAGCAACACACGCAUUUAUCAGGCACAUAAAAAUUCUGUGCUCCUCCUCUGCUUCAUUCUCUCCUCCAGAAGAGCAGUGAUUUGUUCACUCUUUUUUUUUUUUUUUUUUUUUUAAUUUCUUCCUUCUCCUGGAGAGGUGUUAAGGGGCCUGAAAUCCCAAAAAAGGGAAAAAGGGAGAGAAAAAAAUGACUUAAUUUUUCUUCAAAGCCUUUAGCAACCAGCAAACUGCCUGGUUUUAUCAAAACUAACAUAGCCUGAGAAUUCUGGGGUUAAGGCACAGGCAUCCCAUAGGAGAUGGCAUAUCAAAAGGUACAAGCAUUAGCCUGACACCAAAGGAGGAGGGAGGGAAGGGCAAGACUGUCAGGAUUUCAGAAAGUCAGAUUGUGACUCUGUCAAGAGACCACAGGUGUUCAAGCUUCUUCCUCUGAGCUGCUAUUAAAAAAAAGCUCCAAGCCCCAAAAGAUAACACCUAAUUUAGAGACCUAACUC